UGAUAUGGAGGAUCUCGGGCUGAACGACCAAUUGCCAUCACAAAAUCAUCCAGCUUCCUAGAGGAGAGAAAGCAGUUAUGUGUGGCCUUGCAAACAAGAAGAAAAAAGAGGGGAGGAAGUGCCUGGUUGCUCCUGGCUUGGCAGGAAGGGUUGCAGGGUCCCUGAUCACUGCAUUGACUUCCAAACACCCUUGCUAAGACCUGUAGACCAGACCCUUUGCUCGAGCAGCUCUGUGACUCCAUCAGCUGCCUUGCAGGGGAUAUAUGCUAGAGAAAAGCUGGGCCUAUGGGACUGUGCUAGCUGGCUUUUCAAAGAAUAGUUUGCAUCCAUUUGAUAUGCAGGAAAGCUGCCAGCAAUCUUCUGUCUGCAGAACCACUGCAAUGAGAAGAGCUUCAGUUCAGCCCUGGUGCCUGUGUUGGGACUGACAGAGCCCGCCGCUCCUCCCUGCCAGGUGAUUGGGCUUAGUCCUCUCUUUCCCAGUGGAGCCUUGUCAAUCAGCAAGCCAGUUACUACUAGGUUUGAUGGAUGCUGAUGGUGGAGCCUGUCCAAAGAAAGGAUUCCUGAUGGGACAUUUCCUGUUCACAUUGCUGUCUUUCUCAUGAGAAUCCAGUCUGAGAUCCUGUGCCUCCUUGUGGACUCUGACAGAUGGUGGCAUCCAACUGGACCCUGACUGAGCAAACAGCCAAUGACGUGAGACAGUACUGGUGCUGCUGGAGUGUGAGGCAUAAUCCACAGCUAGCACUCAUGGUACAAGAACUGCAGCAAGAAUAAAAAUACUUGCAUAAUUGCUUGUGGCUACGCCAAAUGAAAAUAAUGCAAUUGAUCUCAAGAAUGCAAAGACACUUCAAGAGCUUGAUUCCAUUUUGGCUAAUGCAUGUUAAAUUAUACAUGUGGGGUCUGUACCUAUGGAAAGAUUUCCUGAGAAGUGUUAAGCAUAUCUGAUGUUUAUAAAGAAUGUUUGAGAAUAAUUGAAAGAUAUUUAGUGCUCUCUACCGCUGCACUUGGAAUAGCUGUUCUGCCAAGGGUGCUCUUGGCCUAAACUCCUAUUCCCAUCCAUCUUGAGUGAAGAACCCUGUAUGAGAAGGUGGAUAUUGUUAAUGAUUUUAAAUACAAAAAGAUCCUCCAAAAUUUAGGAAAGAUGGAUUUCCCUACUCAAUAGGAGUCAAUUUCCAGGUAGUUGUAGAGAAAUAGCCUAUAAGCCAUUGAGGGGACAAAAAAAAUUCCUUUUUCUCCCAAGCAAAAUGACCAUUUUUUGGAAGUACCUUUUAUUCCUGAUAAGUUGGCAGAAGCUUUACAGGGAAUUGAUAAGAGAAUGGCAGUACUGUCCUUCAGACUAAGGAAUUUGGUACUCUUGUUCGGUGACGGUAAUGCCUGCCUGGCUGAGUGCAGCCACUGAAGCCUCUUAGUGCCACAUGAAUAAAUUCAAAGCCUGGUAGGGAGCACAAGGCUGUGUUCUUUCAGAGAAAGCUCUAGAGACAAUCUCAGAAUGUUUCUUGUGAAAUUGAAUGUAUGCUUGAAUUCCUGCUACUGUUAAACUGAUACCCAUUUCCCUACAUUUCAUGAAAGACUUUAUGUGUUACUAAUCUUAGUUGAUCCCAUUAUUAGGUAACAAAUGCAUAUGGUGGAAAAUUGCCAGAGACUGGAGUUUCACAAGCAUCAUCACAUGCUGGGGUUUCCAGUUUUGUCCCUAAUGACAAUGGCCAGAAAGCUGUCGCCUUUGCAGAAGCAGAGACUUGGCCAUGUACUUUUA
Molecule: long non-coding RNA, 1750 nt
Organism: Pezoporus flaviventris
Lineage: Eukaryota; Metazoa; Chordata; Aves; Psittaciformes; Psittacidae
Exons: 3
Source: RefSeq, a predicted model, not a curated record